CGCAAGGCCUUCAUGCUAUAAGGAGCGGCCGAAGUUUGAUUAGCUAGUUGGUGGGGUAAGCCAUCCAAGCGACGAUCAGUAGCUGUCUGAGACGACGAUCAGUCACACUGGGACUGAGACACGGUCCAGACUCUACGGGAGGCAGCAGUGGGGAAUUUUGGACAAUGGGCGAAAGCCUGAUCCAGCAAUGCCGCGUGUGUGAAGAAGGCCUUCGGGUUGUAAAGCACUUUUGUCCGGAAAGAAAUGGCUCUGGUUAAUACCUGGGGUCGAUGACGGUACCGGAAGAAUAAGGACCGGCUAACUACGUGCCAGCAGCCGCGGUGAUACGUAGGGUCCAAGCGUUAAUCGGAAUUACUGGGCGUAAAGCGUGCGCAGGCGGUUGUGCAAGACCGAUGUGAAAUCCCCGAGCUUAACUUGGGAAUUGCAUUGGUGACUGCACGGCUAGAGUGUGUCAGAGGGGGGUAGAAUUCCACGUGUAGCAGUGAAAUGCGUAGAGAUGUGGAGGAAUACCGAUGGCGAAGGCAGCCCCCUGGGAUAACACUGACGCUCAUGCACGAAAGCGUGGGGAGCAAACAGGAUUAGAUACCCUGGUAGUCCACGCCCUAAACGAUGUCAACUAGUUGUUGGGGAUUCAUUUCCUUAGUAACGUAGCUAACGCGUGAAGUUGACCGCCUGGGGAGUACGGUCGCAAGAUUAAAACGCAAAGGAAUUGACGGGGACCCGCACAAGCGGUGGAUGAUGUGGAUUAAUUCGAUGCAACGCGAAAAACCUUACCUACCCUUGACAUGCCACUAACGAAGCAGAGAUACAUUAGGUGCUCGAAAGAGAAAGUGGACACAGGUGCUGCAUGGCUGUCGUCAGCUCGUGUCAUGAGAUGUUGGGUUAAGUCCCGCAACGAGCGCAACCCUUGUCUCUAGUUGCUACGAAAGGGCACUCUAGAGAGACUGCCGGUGACAAACCGGAGGAAGGUGGGGAUGACGUCAAGUCCUCAUGGCCCUUAUGGGUAGGGCUUCACACGUCAUACAAUGGUGCAUACAGAGGGUUGCCAAGCCGCGAGGUGGAGCUAAUCCCAGAAAAUGCAUCGUAGUCCGGAUCGGAGUCUGCAACUCGACUACGUGAAGCUGGAAUCGCUAGUAAUCGCGGAUCAGCAUGCCGCGGAUUGCU
This 1164-nucleotide ribosomal RNA is filed under the name uncultured bacterium. RNAcentral describes it as "bacterial SSU rRNA". It matches the Rfam family "Bacterial small subunit ribosomal RNA", at positions 200 to 1367 of the family's 1533-position model. The record is from RNAcentral.